This 107-nucleotide small nuclear RNA is filed under the name Mus pahari (shrew mouse). The record is from RNAcentral. Lineage: Eukaryota; Metazoa; Chordata; Mammalia; Rodentia; Muridae.
GUGCUUGCUUCGGCAGCACAUAUACUAAAAUUGGAACAAUAUAGAGAAGAUUAGCAUAGCCCCUGAGCAAGGAUGACACACAAAUUCAUGAAGGGUUCCAUAUUUUU